UUCAAACUUUAGGGGUGUCUGUGAAGAGCAGACUGAGAUUUUACCCUUUGAACCUGAUCUGGAUUAUACCAGCGUAGGGAAAAGUGAAAUGACUUUU
RNAcentral lists this non-coding RNA (97 nucleotides) under Chryseobacterium sp. RNAcentral's name for it is "TPP sequence". It matches the Rfam family "TPP riboswitch aptamer (THI element)". From Rfam's summary of the family: Vitamin B(1) in its active form thiamin pyrophosphate (TPP) is an essential coenzyme that is synthesised by coupling of pyrimidine and thiazole moieties in bacteria. The previously detected thiamin-regulatory element, thi box was extended, resulting in a new, highly conserved RNA secondary structure, the THI element, which is widely distributed in eubacteria and also occurs in some archaea. The record is from RNAcentral. Lineage: Bacteria; Pseudomonadati; Bacteroidota; Flavobacteriia; Flavobacteriales; Weeksellaceae.